Molecule: unclassified non-coding RNA, 374 nt
Filed under: uncultured bacterium
Lineage: Bacteria
Description: contains 16S-23S intergenic spacer region
Source: RNAcentral
UCCGGUUUGUCACCGGCAGUCCCAUUAGAGUGCCCAACUGAAUGUAGCAACUAAUGGCAAGGGUUGCGCUCGUUGCGGGACUUAACCCAACAUCUCACGGCACGAGCUGACGACAGCCAUGCAGCACCUAGUUUCGUGUCAUUGCUGACUGACGCGUUUCCACGUCAUUCACUAACUUUCAAGCCCUGGUAAGGUUCCUCGCGUAUCAUCGAAUUAAACCACAUGCUCCUCCGCUUGUGCGGGCCCCCGUCAAUUCCUUUGAGUUUCAGUCUUGCGACCGUACUCCCCAGGCGGCGAACUUAACGCGUUAGCUUCGACACUGAGAGUCUGAUUGCUCCCAACGUCCAGUUCGCAUCGUUUAGGGCGUGGACUAC